Molecule: long non-coding RNA, 3760 nt
Filed under: Helianthus annuus (common sunflower)
Lineage: Eukaryota; Viridiplantae; Streptophyta; Magnoliopsida; Asterales; Asteraceae
Description: hypothetical non coding rna
Source: RNAcentral
AUGGUAAGUAUUAAGGCUACUCCUUUGGAGACCUUGUAUAGAUGAAAUGUUAAACAUCUGUUGUUAGGACAAUGAAUUGGUAAGUCCAAUAUUCAGGAUCUGAAAGUUGCAUUGGAAACAACAAAUAAGAUCAUACAAAUUCCUAAUCAUCUGUAAGAUGCCAUUAUUAGGCAGAAAAUACUUCCUUUAUUUCAGUAAAUCUCGGGUCGAGAUUUAUUUUAAGGGGGUGAGGAUGUAACACCUCGAAAUUUUGUGACCAAUAAUGUGUUGACACGUGUCAUGAGUUUACACGUGGUAUUAAAUGCUAAAUAAAGGACUAAAGUUGACAAACCUUGAAAGUAUGUAAAUUCGAGGGUUAUAAAUGUCAACGAAGGGUAAAUGUACUGUAUAGUAACCCUAAAUGAUGCUCGUACCUUCAAACGAAUAAAUCAUUGAUCAUACGAAGCUAAAAGUGAGAGAUUACAAACUACAGGGGUUAAAUGUGUCAACAUGUUUAAAGUUACACCUAUGAGUGACCUUUUAACAAACCCGAAGCUUUGUAAAAGUAAAUUAUGCUCACUACAAUGCACGAUUCAAAUUUCAUAAAGUUUCGUUGUCGUAUAAGAAAGUUAUGAUCAAAUUCGUAUGUGAGGGGUUAAAAGCGUCAACGUCGAAAGUUAUGACUUUUCGGACAACAAUAAAGUUAACCGAGGUCUUAACAAAGUAGGUACAAAUCUUUAAGCCCUUCUGAGUAAAUAAGAAGGGGCCAAAUUGCAAGAAAUAAGCUUCGUUGCCCUUUCGAAGAGCCAAGGGACAAGGAUGUGAAAAUUAAAAAAAUAUAAAAUCAGAUCAGAAGGGCCAGGCGGCCCGCGUAAAACUUGGCUAAAAACUCAGGCGGGCCGCGUCAGGCGCCUAGAUGCAGAAACAUGUUUAACUCGCCUGUGCAGCCUUCUAAACGACAUGUAAAGCCUUUAAAGCCUUCCAAGAGGCCCCUAAUCAACCCCUAAACACUAGGGACACAUGUUGAUGAGUUGUGGUGAGUGCUAGACCUUGUUGUCAACCAAUUAUGGUGAGUGAAUUCACUAUAAAAGGCCACAAGUGUUCAAACAAUCUCACACACCUUCAUCUGCAUUUGUGGAGCACUUCUGGAGCUCAAGCUUCCUCCCAAGUGAUCCCUGGUCGUUCAUAGGACCCUUGUAAGUUUGCCUAACCCUUUUUAAUUGAGCUUUAGCUUAGUUUUAGCUUAAAAGUCAAACCGUCGUAACUAACGGUUGACUUUACGAUUAAUCACAAAUGGUCCAGUGAUUAGUCGAAUCGAAAGUAGUUAUAAGUUGGUGUUUAUGUGGGUAAUAAACCCUUAAGAGGGUUCCCCCUGAACACCACUCUAACUAGUUCAAAUGUCGAGUCAAACGUGCACUUAAAAAGUCAACAGAAAGCCAUUUUGCGAUUUUAUACAUAAUUUGUAAUGUAGGUGAUGUGUAACAUGUUUUGAUGUUCAUAAAACAUGAUAAUAAGUAUAUAAACUAGUCUAAGCUCGUUAGAUCCGACCAUUUAUUGUCUUGACCCGGUUCGGAACCGAAAGUCGCAAAAGUUUGACUUUUGCGAUGACUUCAGUUCUGACCCGUUAAAGUUUGAUUUGGAGAUGCCUUAGAGCUUCCUUAGGACCAGGCUACAUGUUAGCAUAACCCUCUGUGGUUGGUUCAUUGAUUGACCCAUUCGUUUACGCGUUUCCGUUAAUUGCUCAUAUGUUGACCAUUAUGCCCUUAUUACCUUAAAACGUGAUUUAUGAAAAUGUAAAAGUGUAGAAACCUUAGUUACUGAUAUAUAAACUUGUAUGCAAAGUUUGACAUCAGUUUGAGGUGUAGAUUGAGAGUUAUGCUCAUCAGCGUAAAUUGAAGGCUUUAUGUUAAUUAAACGGUGUAACUAGCGUAUAGCCUCGUUAAGCCUACUUUUUGAUAUCAAACCUAUUACCCACUGAUCUAAUAUAUUAUUUUGGGAUUUUUAAAGAUUUUUCAUUAAUUUUAGGCUGAGCAUAACCUAUAGUCGUAGGCUUAAUCCGGUAAUUGUCGGUUUUGCCCUUACGGGCCAUAAAAUGAGUUUUACAUAUCUAAACGACUCCAAACCUUUUGCUACUGAUCACUUAUGAUAAAUGAAUUAUUUUAAGCCUUCUGGAAAUAUAAAAAUAUCAGAUUUAAGUAUCGAACCCGGAAAUGACCUUUCAUCGCCUUUUUAAGCGUUUUUAACGCAUAGUAUGUACCUAAACUAUUUUAAACAUACAAGGGUUGAUACCUACUGAUAUUUGAGACAAAUUAUAAUAAUUUAACAGUAAGCAAAGGUUGAUAAACUUAGACUUCAGUUUUGAGCUUUACAGCUUAUGUGAAAUUACCAAAAUGCCCCUUCGGUGCAUAGUUUGGUUAUAAUUGAUAAAUUUCACAUAUAUACUUUAUCCUACUGUUAUAACGUAUCAAAAUAAGUAUUUUCGCUGAUUAUACCAGACCUGUAACUCAGGUAAAUACUUAAACUCUUUUAUAACCUUUUAAAUGACCAAGCUACCCCUACGAGGCCUAGUUUGUGUUUAAAUACGUUUUGGGCAUAAUGAAAGACAUCUUACUGAUGUCACAACAUAUUUGAGGCAUAAUUAACUUAGAAAACCUGUAUAUGACUCUCAUGAUUACCCGUUAUGCUUAUUACGCGUUUGGUUCGGUUUAUGUAACAAGUUUACAUAAAUUCGCCGAAACGGGUCAAACGUUAUCAUUUUUAUCUCAAAAUCCAGAGUGUGUUUAGUUUACCCAUAUUAUACAAGUCUCCAAACUUGUCGGGUCUAAAUCACAUCCUAUUCCGGUCUUCGCUUAAUCAUGCGUUUUGAACCGUAAACCUUUCCUUAAAACUAACCGGUCUAAGUUACGACUUAAAUAAGACCCGUUAGAAAUUUAAUAGGUUAAUAAAACCUUCGUUCCAGAUUGAGAGCCCCAGUAGAAGUACUUGUGCUUGCUGAUUAGAAUAUACGGCUGAGUAUAAAUUGCAUUGCUAGCUCAGGUAAAUACUCUUAACUUAUUUUCCCUUAUACGGGCUUGGGAUACGGUAUUAUAAAAUUACCGCUUGGUCGGGUGUAGAAACCUUUUAAUCGGAGAUGAUUAAAUUGCAUAAUCCCGUUUUAAUCUGUAUUGAUUGAUAACAAAUAACAUUGGGGGUUAAUGACCGUGUCCUGGAUAUCCUUGGCUCAUUUUAAAAAGUGAAUGGCCACGACGUAGGCACAAGGUGUAGGCAAAACACCUCCUGUUGCAUAUGUAUAACGUAUACUCACUCGUAAGGGUAUCUUCUUGUGAGAUUAUAUUUGUGGGGUGUCGAUUAAUCUUGUACGGCUUGUAUUGUAUAAUCACCGGCCCUAAAUGUUGGACAACCAUGUAAAUCGGAUACAAGAUUUUUAUUAAUAAAAUUGUCCCAAGUAUAAAAGAUUAAUUUUGCCUCUGUGCAUUUUAAUCAAUGUGUCAAGAUAUUUUGUGCCGUUUGCACUCGAAUAACUUUUCAAACUCUUUUUCCAAAAUGAGUCAGUUAAUUGUAUUUACCAGUGUAAACUGACGUAUUUUCCAAAAGGUUAAGUGACAGGUACUAUGCGUAAUUGGCUGGGAGCUCAGGGCGUCACUAGGGAAUCUUGCAAGUUCUAGAUGCCUAAAGUCUGUUGAACAGUUUUCUUUUAUUGAUCCGCCUGUGGAUCCUUUACCUUCCGUUGUAAUACUUUGACAUUACUUAUACACGGAAUGUAAUAUAUUUAUCCUUUGCU